This 758-nucleotide ribosomal RNA is filed under the name uncultured bacterium. RNAcentral's name for it is "bacterial SSU rRNA". It matches the Rfam family "Bacterial small subunit ribosomal RNA", at positions 8 to 796 of the family's 1533-position model. The record is from RNAcentral.
AGAGUUUGAUCCUGGCUCAGAAUCAACGCUGGCGGCGCGCUUAACACAUGCAAGUCGAACGAGAAAGCGGGGGCAACCUCGCAAGUAAAGUGGCGUACGGGUGAGUAACACGUGGGUAAUCUACCUCCGGGUGCGGAAUAACGCUGGGAAACCGGCGCUAAUACCGCAUAAGCUCGAGAGGAAAGCAGGCAACUGCGCCGGGAGAGGAGCCCGCGGCCGAUUAGCUAGUUGGUGAGGUAACGGCCCACCAAGGCAAAGAUCGGUAGCCGGCCUGAGAGGGCACACGGCCACACUGGCACUGAAACACGGGCCAGACUCCUACGGGAGGCAGCAGUGGGGAAUCUUGCACAAUGGGGGCAACCCUGAUGCAGCGACGCCGCGUGAGCGAUGAAGCCCUUCGGGGUGUAAAGCUCUUUCGGCAGGGAAGAUGAUGACGGUACCUGCAGAAGCAGCUGCGGCUAACUACGUGCCAGCAGCCGCGGUAAUACGUAGGCAGCGAGCGUUGUUCGGAGUUACUGGGCGUAAAGGGUGUGUAGGCGGUUCUUCAAGUUUGGUGUGAAAUCUCCCGGCUCAACCGGGAGGGUGCGCCGAAAACUGGGGGGCUAGAGUGCGGGAGGGGAGAGUGGAAUUCCUGGUGUAGCGGUGAAAUGCGUAGAUAUCAGGAGGAACACCGGUGGUGUAGACGGCUCUCUGGACCGUAACUGACGCUGAGACACGAAAGCGUGGGUAGCAAACAGGAUUAGAUACCCCGGUAGUCC